This 138-nucleotide ribosomal RNA is filed under the name uncultured eukaryote. RNAcentral's name for it is "partial 18S ribosomal RNA". It matches the Rfam family "Eukaryotic small subunit ribosomal RNA", at positions 1299 to 1458 of the family's 1831-position model. The record is from RNAcentral.
UGGUGGAGCGAUUUGUCUGGUUAAUUCUGAUAACGAACGAGACUCUAGCCUAUUAAAUAGUUCGCCGUUCACGUUACGUCGGCGUCAACUUCUUAGAGGGACAAGUGGCGUUUAGCCACGCGAGAUUGAGCAAUAACA